GUGCCCGCGAUCGAACGGUCUAAAUUUGUUUCCACGCGCGUGGACAGUUUGGAUCCAUUCCCUCCUCAGGUGCGAUCGGACGGUCGCAAUUAAACGCGAUAAACGAUCUAGUUUUGUUCCCUCUUUAAAUGCAAUCGUACGAUUCAGAUUUAUUUCCUCUUUAAACAUGAUCGGACAGUCGAAAUCAAACGCGAUAAACGACCCUGAUUAAAGGGAGAUGGAUAUAAAUAUCUCACUUCACACGAGACUCUAAUCCUAGCCGUCAGCCCCCUGCCGGAG
RNAcentral lists this long non-coding RNA (279 nucleotides) under Carica papaya (papaya). RNAcentral's name for it is "long non-coding RNA (CPAP_LNC002666)". Lineage: Eukaryota; Viridiplantae; Streptophyta; Magnoliopsida; Brassicales; Caricaceae. The record is from RNAcentral.